GUAACUCAGUGGUAGAGUGCUUGCCUUGCAUGCAUGAGGCCCUGAGGUCAAUUCCUCAGC
This 60-nucleotide transfer RNA is filed under the name Dipodomys ordii (Ord's kangaroo rat). It matches the Rfam family "tRNA", at positions 7 to 64 of the family's 71-position model. From Rfam's summary of the family: Transfer RNA (tRNA) molecules are approximately 80 nucleotides in length. Their secondary structure includes four short double-helical elements and three loops (D, anti-codon, and T loops). Lineage: Eukaryota; Metazoa; Chordata; Mammalia; Rodentia; Heteromyidae. The record is from Rfam by way of RNAcentral.